Molecule: ribosomal RNA, 448 nt
Filed under: uncultured bacterium
Lineage: Bacteria
Description: bacterial SSU rRNA
Rfam family: Bacterial small subunit ribosomal RNA
Source: RNAcentral
UCCAGACUCCUACGGGAGGCAGCAGUGGGGAAUAUUGGACAAUGGGGGGAACCCUGAUCCAGCGACGCCGCGUGAGUGAAGAAGUAUUUCGGUAUGUAAAGCUCUCUCAGCAGGGAAGAAAGAAAUGACGGUACCUGACUAAGAAGCCCCGGCUAACUACGUGCCAGCAGCCGCGGUAAUACGUAGGGGGCAAGCGUUAUCCGGAUUUACUGGGUGUAAAGGGAGCGUAGACGGUCCUGCAAGCCAGAUGUGAAAGCCCGGGGCUCAACCCCGGGACUGCAUUUGGAACUGUAAGGCUAGAGUGUCGGAGAGGCAGGCGGAAUUCCUAGUGUAGCGGUGAAAUGCGUAGAUAUUAGGAGGAACACCAGUGGCGAAGGCGGCCUGCUGGACGAUGACUGACGUUGAGGCUCGAAAGCGUGGGGAGCAAACAGGAUUAGAUACCCCAGUA